Molecule: long non-coding RNA, 2717 nt
Organism: Canis lupus familiaris (dog)
Lineage: Eukaryota; Metazoa; Chordata; Mammalia; Carnivora; Canidae
Exons: 3
Source: RefSeq, a predicted model, not a curated record
CUUUUCUCUGCUACGUGGGUUUUUCUGGCUCCUUCUGCGGCUCGGAGUCACUUAAGCUGUGAAGGGUCCCGGGACUUAGUCCCACGACAGACGGAAGCGUUUCGGCUCCCCGAUGAGCGCUCGAGCCCUGCAUUAGGAGAGGCCCUGCUGACUCUUGACCCAAGGGACGCCCUCGGUCUCAGGCUUCCGCUCUGGCUGUCUAAAGACUCUGCAGAGCGAGCCUUGUUCCUUCCAGGGAAUAGCCCCGGACCUAAUGCUGUUCCUUUGACAGUUUUCUGUGUUAAACUCAGCAGCCUGUGAGGUGUUUACUGAAUAAGCAAAGGCAUAUCCUGUCCAUGUGGAGAAAAACCAGGAAAUGCUCCAAUUGAAGCCCAGUUCUGAACAAUUUCAUUGUUGGGACUGAUAACUGGAUCCUCAUGCUAAUGUCAGGGCUCAGUCCCUAGUUGAAAUUCUGAAGAGUGAGGACCAGAAAAUUCUUGCAAAAAAUGGGACAGUGAGCAAAGGAAGAAGAAAAGAGGUAACUGCUGUCUCAGUCGGAUCAGCUUACUCACCUUGAUCAGGGGAAAUGGCUGCUGCAACAGAAGAGGGCUAAAUGAAAGAAGCCAUUUUAAACAUUAUUUUUGUUGGAAUUACAACUAUGAGCCAUUCGUUCAGUCUCUGCUCGCAAGAACUCAAGAUGAAGUUGGUUGUAUUCUGGAGCUUCUGUGAAAUUAAAAUAGUUAAUGAGGAGAUCAUUUUCAUUUGUAACUUCCAAUUGUCUAUGACCAUGAGUGACUCUCAAGGGCCCAGACAAAGGAGCAGCUCAGAGUUGCUGGGGAAGAGGGCUCGUGUUCACCAAGGGAAGGCUAGCCAGAAAGCUUUUGAAGGCCUAUCAGCCCAUCACCUCUGCAGAGAAGCUGUCCUUCCCAGCCUCACGUAUGGUGCCUUGUUUGCUGUGAAAUGCAGACAUGUGUGUGCAGGCGAGGCUCUGUUUUGGAGACAUUCCAGGGCAGUAACUGCAGAUCACAACCCUCUACCUGAAUCCAAGACAGACCAGGACAAUGAGGGCCUGGAACAUUGUAAAUGAUUCUUGAACAUUUAACAUUGAAUGAUAUAAAAAAAUGAACAUUGAGGAUGAAUUUUGUCAUGGGCUGGGAGUACUGGUCGUGAUCAUCAUCGGAAAGAAUCUCAGAUAUGUGAUGCUGGUAAUCUCUGCUGGUAAAUAUGUAUUGACAGUAAAUCUUUUCUUCUAAUGACAAAAAAAGCUUGGGGAAAUCUCUGUCCCAGAAACAUAUUUAUGUUCUAUCUUUAUUUCUUGUCAGCCUAUCUGGAGUAAAUGAUUUGCUGCUCAGAGAUGAGGGCUAAAUGAAAUUACUGGAGGUGGGAGCUGUCCUGCUUAUUGGGCAACCUCCGACUCUGGCUCUCAAGGGGAAUUGGCUACCUAAACUAGUGCCUUCCAUUGACCAGGCCAACAUAAACAUGACUGGGAACAGGGCAGUGUUUUUAUGAUCCUCAGUCCCUGGAGACCCUUGUUCACUGGGAAAGAUACUCUCACUUCGUGACUACUUGUCUGAGACCCAGAGGCCUCUCACAGCAGGGACUGCCUGGGACUACCUCUGUGAGUUGACUCACCUCACCAAGUACCCAGAGGGCCUCCUCCUUGAAGCUCUUCCAGAUCAAUGGGAGCCACAAGGCAAACACUCUCCCAGAACUGUGUCCUAUGUGAACAAGGAAUGGCCAUAACACCCCCUUUUUAGUUUGUCACCUACUAGAAUGAAAUCACAUUUUACUGAGAUAGCUUUGAAAACUAUGGCCUUCUGUUGUUUUUCCUCCUUUUGUGCAGAAGAUCAGUCAUUUCCAUCCCAUGUGAAUUCCAGUUGAAUCCUACUUCCCCCAUUUACCACACUUAGUCCUAAUGUAGGUGAGAGAGAAAGACAGACCCAGUUCUUAGACUCCAGGCUUCCAAGUUGAUGUGACUAGAUGAAUAUUUAAGACAAAUCUGUAGCUUAUUUGCCAUGGUCAGAAACUCACAUCUCUAUCCCCUCAAUAUCACUAUGAGGCAGGGAUUAUCGCCUGCUAUCCCCUCCAUGGUAAUAAUGAGUAUUUAUUGAGUUUGUACCAUGUACUAAAAAUUCUGUGCUAAGCAUUAUGUGUGGAUUAUUGUAUAUAAUUCUCACAAAACCCUGAGGGGCAAACAAUGUUAUCAUCCAUCCCUAAUAAACACAUGAGGUAAACAAGCCUCACAGAGGGUGAAUUGAUUGUUUGCUAUUUCUGUUGGAUUGAGCUUCCUUUUAGAGAGUUUGUGAACAUUUUUUUGGGGGGAAAAUCCCCAUUUUUGAGAGUAGUUUUGGGUUUUAGAAGAUCCUUAAUUGCAGAAUCAGGGGUAGGAGAGCAAGUUGAUAAAUACUGUGUUUGGGCAGAUGGCCAAUGUGGCCUCAGGGAAGGGGCUUGGCUUUCAUGUGUGGCAGAAGGCAGUUUCCAGGAGUUCCUGUGGGGUUCCAGCCUUGAAAACCUUUAGGAUUGUUCGAGGCUUCUCAAUGUUCAGAGCACAUAAUAUUCAGAAUGGAAUGGAAUUUGGAGAUUAUCUAAUUUAAUCACCACAUUUUGUAGAGUUAAUUCAGAGAGAUUAUGUUUAUUAGACAGGUCACCCACCUAGAGGCAGAAUAGGAACUAUAGCUCAGAGCUCAUAAAUCCCAUCCUAGGGCUCUUUCCUUCCCUUAAAUUUGGGUACUUUUAUA